Molecule: ribosomal RNA, 159 nt
Filed under: Mycoplasma ovis
Lineage: Bacteria; Bacillati; Mycoplasmatota; Mollicutes; Mycoplasmatales; Mycoplasmataceae
Description: partial 16S ribosomal RNA
Rfam family: Bacterial small subunit ribosomal RNA
Source: RNAcentral
AAGGUCUUCUGAUUGUAAAGUUCUUUUAUUUAGGAAAAAAAGCGCGCUAGGAAAUGAGCGCGCCUUGAUGGUACUAAUUGAAUAAGUGACAGCUAACUAUGUGCCAGCAGCUGCGGUAAAACAUAGGUCACAAGCAUUAUCCGGAUUUAUUGGGCGUAA